RNAcentral lists this ribosomal RNA (468 nucleotides) under uncultured bacterium. RNAcentral's name for it is "partial 16S ribosomal RNA". It matches the Rfam family "Bacterial small subunit ribosomal RNA", at positions 28 to 507 of the family's 1533-position model. The record is from RNAcentral.
GACGAACGCUGGCGGCGUGCUUAACACAUGCAAGUCGAACGGAAAGGCCCUGCUUUUGUGGGGUGCUCGAGUGGCGAACGGGUGAGUAACACGUGAGUAACCUGCCCUUGACUUUGGGAUAACUUCAGGAAACUGGGGCUAAUACCGGAUAGGAGCUCCUGCUGCAUGGUGGGGGUUGGAAAGUUUCGGCGGUUGGGGAUGGACUCGCGGCUUAUCAGCUUGUUGGUGGGGUAGUGGCUUACCAAGGCUUUGACGGGUAGCCGGCCUGAGAGGGUGACCGGCCACAUUGGGACUGAGGUACGGCCCAGACUCCUACGGGGGGCAGCAGUGGGGAAUAUUGCACAAUGGGCGGAAGCCUGAUGCAACAACGCCGCGUGCGGGAUGACGGCCUUCGGGUUGUAAACCGCUUUCGCCUGUGACGAAGCGUGAGUGACGGUAAUGGGUAAAGAAGCACCGGCUAACUACGUG